CACUGUCAAAGAGUGAGAUCAGCUUUGACUCCAGUCUCGUUUACCUCCUAGGAUCAUGUUCCAACCAAGCCUACCACUUCUUCCUUCAGCAUUUACAGCAUCCUGACAUGCUCAUCCUGUCUCCUGAGCUCCAACCGUCGCAUCUAUUCCAGAGGCCAUCACUGUAACCCCUGCAGCGCGUCCAGUGCAAGUCRCCUUGGAGAGCCUGGAGUCAGUGAUGGCCGUGGAGCUGCUUCCAUACCCAGCGYCUCCACGUGCAGAACAUACCAGGCUCAACCUUCAGCAGAGUGCAACAGCAGUGGUGGGGAGAACCACAAACUAAAUGUGUAAGAGGCUGAUAGAUUUGAUUAAAGGAAGAAGGGCACAGAUAAUACAGCACCAGACAGUGUCUAUUAAAAAGGAUCCCAGAUUGCCUUGGCUAUCUAGAAGACCAGCACAUUAUCUGGACAAUACAGAAUCAGACACCAUAGUGGGCCCAGAAGAGAUUCCCUGCA
Molecule: long non-coding RNA, 494 nt
Organism: Nothoprocta perdicaria
Lineage: Eukaryota; Metazoa; Chordata; Aves; Tinamiformes; Tinamidae
Exons: 4
Source: RefSeq, a predicted model, not a curated record